RNAcentral lists this ribosomal RNA (484 nucleotides) under uncultured bacterium. RNAcentral describes it as "partial 16S ribosomal RNA". It matches the Rfam family "Bacterial small subunit ribosomal RNA", at positions 29 to 507 of the family's 1533-position model. The record is from RNAcentral.
AUUGAACGCUGGCGGCAUGCUUUACACAUGCAAGUCGAACGGCAGCGCGGGCUUCGGCCUGGCGGCGAGUGGCGAACGGGUGAGUAAUACAUCGGAACGUGCCCAGUAGUGGGGGAUAGCUCGGCGAAAGCCGGAUUAAUACCGCAUACGACCUGAGGGUGAAAGCGGGGGAUCUUCGGACCUCGCGCUAUUGGACCGGCCGAUGGCCGAUUAGCUAGUUGGUGGGGUAAAGGCCUACCAAGGCGACGAUCUGUAGCUGGUCUGAGAGGACGACCAGCCACACUGGGACUGAGACACGGCCCAGACUCCUACGGGAGGCAGCAGUGGGGAAUUUUGGACAAUGGGCGAAAGCCUGAUCCAGCAAUGCCGCGUGUGUGAUGAAGGCCUUCGGGUUGUAAAGCACUUUUGGCGGGAACGAAAAGGACUGUGCCAAUACCACGGUUCGAUGACGGUACCCGCAGAAUAAGCACCGGCUAACUACGUG